Molecule: ribosomal RNA, 707 nt
Filed under: Dirina catalinariae
Lineage: Eukaryota; Fungi; Ascomycota; Arthoniomycetes; Arthoniales; Roccellaceae
Description: SSU rRNA
Rfam family: Eukaryotic small subunit ribosomal RNA
Source: RNAcentral
GUUAUCGUUUAUUUGAUAGUACCUUACUACUUGGAUAACCGUGGUAAUUCUAGAGCUAAUACAUGCUAAAAACCCCGACUUCGGAAGGGGUGUAUUUAUUAGAUAAAAAGCCAACGCCCUUCGGGGCUCCGUGGUGAUUCAUGAUAACUUCACGAACCGCAUGGCCUUGCGCCGGCGGUGGUUCAUUCAAAUUUCUGCCCUAUCAACUUUCGAUUGUUGGGUAUUGGCCAACAAUGGUUACGACGGGUAACGGGGAAUUAGGGUUCGAUUCCGGAGAGGGAGCCUGAGAAACGGCUACCACAUCCAAGGAAGGCAGCAGGCGCGCAAAUUACCCAAUCCCGACGCGGGGAGGUAGUGACAAUAAAUACUGAUACAGGGCUCUUUUGGGUCUUGUAAUUGGAAUGAGUACAAUUUAAAUACCUUAACGAGGAACAAUUGGAGGGCAAGUCUGGUGCCAGCAGCCGCGGUAAUUCCAGCUCCAAUAGCGUAUAUUAAAGUUGUUGCAGUUAAAAAGCUCGUAGUUGAACCUUGGCCCUGGCUAGCCGGUCCGCCUCACCGCGUGUACUGGUCCGGCCGGGGCUUUCCUCCUGGGGAUCCGCAUGGCCUUCACUGGUUGUGUUGGGGAACCAGGACUUUUACUUUGAAAAAAUUAGAGUGUUCAAAGCAGGCAUCCGCUCGAAUACAUUAGCAUGGAAUAAUGGAAUAGG